Molecule: long non-coding RNA, 562 nt
Filed under: Crocodylus porosus (Australian saltwater crocodile)
Lineage: Eukaryota; Metazoa; Chordata; Crocodylia; Crocodylidae
Description: lncRNA (ENSCPRG00005004858.1)
Source: RNAcentral
GCUGUUUGCCUUGUUGGUGACUGCAGAACUGCUUCUUUUAGUGAACUGCCCACGGUGACGCCCAGCUCUGAUGCACGCAGGUAACAGCCGGAGUAGAGCCUCUCCCAGCAUAGCUCGGAUUUCGGAUACUUCUGCCCAGGGGCAUCGCUGGACACAGAGCGAUGCUGAGGUUCAAUCCCACUCCUGAAACCACCUGCUACAAGAUCAGCACAGCCCUGACCAGGGAUCAGGAGAAAAACCGGACAGACGGCAGAAAUACCUGCAGGCCAAGACCAGACAGCAGCCACCCUUUGUGCCUGCAUUGCCUCGAGGCAGGAUUGCACAGGACUGUGGGUAACAAGCUGGAGAUCCCCAGUGACUGAUAAGGUGCCAAUUAGCUGCCAGCCUCCCCACCCCUGAGCUUCAAAAUCAGGCUUAUAUUGGCCCUAUUUGCCUUUCUUCCUUACAUAUAUUUUGCAACGAGGGGAAUCCAGUGGGGGGUUGCCACUUCCAGGAGUCCCAUCUUCCCUUUCCUUUGGGAAACCAUCAGUUUUCUACCUCCUUCAAAGCCCCCAAAGGCAAG